Molecule: ribosomal RNA, 476 nt
Filed under: Myxosporea environmental sample
Lineage: Eukaryota; Metazoa; Cnidaria; Myxozoa
Description: bacterial SSU rRNA
Rfam family: Eukaryotic small subunit ribosomal RNA
Source: RNAcentral
CGCGCAAAUUCCGCGGUAAUUCCAGCUCCAGUAGCGUAUCUCAAAGUUGUUGCGCUUAAAACGCUCGUAGUUGGAUCACAAACUAUUCGUUGGUGCGUAAUGAUGUGUAUUAAUUUCGGAGAGUUGACUGCUGUGUCCUCACACAGUUGAUAAUUUGGAUAAUGCUAUUUAGUUGCGAUAAGCCAACGAGUAGUAAUUGCACGUAAGGAUAGGCACUAGCCUUGAGUGAGCUGGUGUUUGUGUCUUACGGAGUGUGCCUUGAGUAAAUCAGAGUGCUUAAAGCAGGCUUUACGCUUGAAUGUUAUAGCAUGGAACGAACAAUCGUGUAUGGUGUAUGCUGUAUAUGAUAAGUUAAACGUUGUUUGACAUCAUCAGCAUACGACACCGACCGCCAAUAACGGAUGUUGGUUCCGUAUUGGGGUAUUGAUUAAGAGGAGCAGUUGGGGGUAUUGGUAUUUGGCCGCGAGAGGUGAAAU